This 1403-nucleotide long non-coding RNA is filed under the name Salmo salar (Atlantic salmon). RNAcentral describes it as "lncRNA (ENSSSAG00000115223.1)". The record is from RNAcentral. Lineage: Eukaryota; Metazoa; Chordata; Actinopteri; Salmoniformes; Salmonidae.
AUAACACCCUAUAAUAAAACUGUAUUGGAAAGGUGUUGAAUUACAUUAUAAUAACACCCUAUAAUAAAACUGUAUUGGAAAUGGUGUUGAAUCACACCCUAUAAUAAAACUGUAUUGGAAAGGUGUUGAAUAACACCCUAUAAUAAAACUGUAUUGGAAAGGUGUUGAAUAACACCCUAUAAUAAAACUGUAUUGGAAAGGUGUUGAAUUACACCCUAUAAUAAAACUGUAUUGGAAAUGUGUUGAAUAACAGCUGAUAAUAAAACUGUAUUGGAAAGGGUGUUGAAUCACAUUAUAAUAACACCCUAUAAUAAAACUGUAUUGGAAAUGUGUUAAAUAACACCCUAUAAUAAAACGGUAUUGGAAAUGUGUUGAAUUACAUUAUAAUAACACCCUAUAAUAAAACUGUAUUGGAAAGGGUGUUGAAUUACAUUAUAAUAACACCCUAUAAUAAAACUGUAUUGGAAAGGGUGUUGAAUAACACCCUAUAAUAAAACUGUAUUGGAAAGGGUGUUGAAUAACACCCUAUAAUAAAACUGUAUUGGAAAUGUCUUUAAUCUUGUUAUUAAAGCACCCUGUAAUAAAACUUAAGACUGUGCUUCAGAAAAGUCCAUCUGUCAUUGGUCACUUGUAAAGGAAUAGUAUGUUUUGCAGUACUUGGCGUAAACGGCGGUGGGAUCGAUUUAAAGAAAACAGCAGAUGUUUAAGUCGAUGCAGCUAGGUCCUCUUUCUGGCUUUAUCCCUCUGCAAGGGAUCAACUAAAUAAACACAUAUAGAAAAUGGAACAAUCUAGUAACAAACUACAUUAACUAAUAUAGAACAAUCUAGACAUAAACUAUAUUAACUAAUAUAGAACAAUCUAGACAUAAACUAUAUUAACUAAUAUAGAACAAUCUAGACAUAAACUACAUUAACUAAUAUAGAACAAUCUAGACAUAAACUACAUUAACUAAUAUACAAUCUAGUGAUAAACUACAUUAACUAAUAUAGAACAAUCUAGUAAUAAACUACAUUAACUAAUAUACAAUCUAGUGAUAAACUACAUUAACUAAUAUACAAUCUAGUGAUAAACUACAUUAACUAAUAUACAAUCUAGUGAUAAACUACAUUAACUAAUAUAGAACAUAGAACAAUCUAGUGCUGUAGGCAGCUGGUACUGAUGUAGAACUUUCCCAACAUGGAAACCUGUUCAAAAGAAUACUUUCAAUUAAGUGCACAAUCAAUUUUUUUUGUAUCAUUAAAGGUCUGAAAACCAGCCAAUCAAAACAUACAGUCUUCAAGUGCCUCUUUUGAGUCUGUCAAGCCAAAGGCAAGUUGGCAUGUGUGGGUUUUGUUUCUCUUGCAUCAUCCAUAUUAUCAAGAGCAGGUGUCACACACACAUCUUAGCAGGAAAGCCUCUAACA